Molecule: long non-coding RNA, 488 nt
Organism: Oncorhynchus keta (chum salmon)
Lineage: Eukaryota; Metazoa; Chordata; Actinopteri; Salmoniformes; Salmonidae
Exons: 5
Source: RefSeq, a predicted model, not a curated record
GGACAACCUGGUUCAAUCUGCUGUCCACCAGACACUGGGUGACAAAUUCACCUUCAGCAGGACAAUAACCUAAAACACAAGGUCAAAUCCUAGAGGACAACCUGGUUCAAUCUGCUGUCCACCAGACACUGGGUGACAAAUUCACCUUCAGCUGGACAAUAACCUAAAACACAAGGUCAAAUCCUAGAGGACAACCUGGUUCAAUCUGCUGUCCACCAGACACUGGGUGACAAAUUCACCUUCAGCAGGACAAUAACCUAAAACACAAGGUCAAAUCCUAGAGGACAACCUGGUUCAAUCUGCUGUCCACCAGACACUGGGGGACAAAUUCACCUUCAGCAGGACAAUAACCUAAAACACAAGGCCAAAUCCUAGAGGACAACCUGGUUCAAUCUGCUGUCCACCAGACACUGGGUGACAAAUUCACCUUCAGCAGGACAAUAACCUAAAACACAAGGUCAAAUCCUAGAGGACAACCUGGUUCAAUC